AAAAGCAAAGAUAAAAACGCAACGUAUGCAGCAAUGUAUGCCAGAGCCGGUAGGUAGCCCGGCCGUCCUGCUUGACAGGGUAAGUAACCUGCCCCUCCGGGUUGUCCGUUCUUUGCUCAUUUCAA
Regulatory RNA element from Blautia sp. An46, 125 nucleotides. It matches the Rfam family "azaaromatic riboswitch aptamer (yjdF RNA)". Lineage: Bacteria; Bacillati; Bacillota; Clostridia; Lachnospirales; Lachnospiraceae. The record is from Rfam.